AUUGAACGCUGGCGGCAUGCCUUACACAUGCAAGUCGAACGGCAGCACGGGGCAACCUGGUGGCGAGUGGCGAACGGGUGAGUAAUGCAUCGGAACGUGCCAUUGAGUGGGGGAUAACGUAGCGAAAGUUGCGCUAAUACCGCAUAUUCUGUGAGCAGGAAAGCAGGGGACCGCAAGGCCUUGCGCUCUUUGAGCGGCCGAUGUCAGAUUAGCUAGUUGGUGAGGUAACGGCUUACCAAGGCGACGAUCAGUAGUUGGUCUGAGAGGACGACCAGCCACACUGGGACUGAGACACGGCCCAGACUCCUACGGGAGGCAGCAGUGGGGAAUUUUGGACAAUGGGCGCAAGCCUGAUCCAGCAAUGACCGCGUGAGUGAAGAAGGCCUU
RNAcentral lists this ribosomal RNA (387 nucleotides) under uncultured bacterium. RNAcentral describes it as "bacterial SSU rRNA". It matches the Rfam family "Bacterial small subunit ribosomal RNA", at positions 30 to 418 of the family's 1533-position model. The record is from RNAcentral.